This 515-nucleotide ribosomal RNA is filed under the name uncultured bacterium. Its description in RNAcentral is "partial 16S ribosomal RNA". It matches the Rfam family "Bacterial small subunit ribosomal RNA", at positions 28 to 523 of the family's 1533-position model. The record is from RNAcentral.
GAUGAACGCUGGCGGCGUGCCUAAUACAUGCAAGUCGAGCGAAUGGAUUAAGAGCUUGCUCUUAUGAAGUUAGCGGCGGACGGGUGAGUAACACGUGGGUAACCUGCCCAUAAGACUGGGAUAACUCCGGGAAACCGGGGCUAAUACCGGAUAACAUUUUGAACCGCAUGGUUCGAAAUUGAAAGGCGGCUUCGGCUGUCACUUAUGGAUGGACCCGCGUCGCAUUAGCUAGUUGGUGAGGUAACGGCUCACCAAGGCAACGAUGCGUAGCCGACCUGAGAGGGUGAUCGGCCACACUGGGACUGAGACACGGCCCAGACUCCUACGGGAGGCAGCAGUAGGGAAUUUUCCGCAAUGGACGAAAGUCUGACGGAGCAACGCCGCGUGAGUGAUGAAGGCUUUCGGGCCGUAAAACUCUGUUGUUAGGGAAGAACAAGUGCUAGUUGAAUAAGCUGGCACCUUGACGGUACCUAACCAGAAAGCCACGGCUAACUACGUGCCAGCCGCCGCGGUAA